GUAGAAAAAAAAUAUUUAUUUAAAAAGAUUGUGAAAGUAAUUGAAUGAGCAUGCAUAUACGCAAUAGACAUACAGACUGGCGAGGCGGUUGACGAUGGCAUGGAGCUGUAUAAGAGUGUUGAAAAUUUUGGCCACAAAAAAAUGAAUUAACGGUACUUUAAGUUUGGAAAAUAUCAAUGUUAUGACCUGACUUUCCUUGAUAGUGGGGUUAAAGAGAAAAAUGAAACCAAAUGUUAACCAUACAAUUAAUUUAUUGUUUGAACUGGUUUGAUUGGAUCCUGAUCUGAAAUGUAGCAAGGCAACCUCAAAUAAAAAUUUCCAUUUUAAGACAACGUUUCGGGAAAUAAUAAAUUUUCUCGAUAACUACUUUGGUAAGUGCUUCAAAAUUUCCAAGACGGUAAUAAAUGUCGGUCCAAUUAAUUAAUUGUAGCCGCAUCCUAGCUAGAAAUUCUAACUUUAUGACGUAUAAACGCUUCAUGAAAUUUCAUUGGAUCUCACUUUGCUUCAAAUUUUGUAACAGAUUCAAAUUUUAUUGGUCCCGUUGUUGCCUUCUACUGGCAAGAUAUCGCAGUAUAAUCAUGGUAAGGAGAAAAUUAUACUACAAUCUUGAUAAAUUUGUACCUUUAAAUAAUAUAUUAAUUUGAGGUAUAUUUGCUUAAUUAUUAAAUUUUUCUUGGACUCAAAGAUAUUAACUUAUACAAGUUUUAUACUUUUACUGUAUUAGGGUUUGAAUUUUUUUU
This 740-nucleotide long non-coding RNA is filed under the name Citrus x clementina. Its description in RNAcentral is "Citrus clementina (C. clementina) long non-coding RNA (CCLE_LNC004406)". The record is from RNAcentral. Lineage: Eukaryota; Viridiplantae; Streptophyta; Magnoliopsida; Sapindales; Rutaceae.